Molecule: ribosomal RNA, 298 nt
Filed under: Amblyomma ovale
Lineage: Eukaryota; Metazoa; Arthropoda; Arachnida; Ixodida; Ixodidae
Description: partial 12S ribosomal RNA
Source: RNAcentral
AAUAUAAAUUAUGAAAACAUAAAAUUAUGGCGGUACUUUAAGCUUUUCAGAGGAAUUUGCUCUUUAAUGGAUAAAACACCUAAAUCUUACUGGAAUUAGUAAAGGCAGUUUGUAUACCACUAUAAAAGUAGUUAGUUACUGUUAUUACUUUAAAUUUUAAAUAAAAAAUAAAUUAAGUCAUGGUGCAGCAUAAAUUUCAGGUUGAAGUGAAUUACAUUACUUUUAAGUAAAAAUUAAUUAAAUAAAUUUUAGGAUUGUAGUAAAUUUCAAUAAAAGGAAUUUGAUCACGGUUGUGCGA